Myotis lucifugus (little brown bat) is the source of this 1487-nucleotide long non-coding RNA. RefSeq lists it as uncharacterized. The transcript is spliced from 3 exons. The record is from RefSeq and is a predicted model, not a curated record. NCBI's taxonomy places the organism in Eukaryota, Metazoa, Chordata, Mammalia, Chiroptera, Vespertilionidae.
CAGUUGCUUCAAAAUAUUCCAUAGGUGCGACUUACUGGGAUCACAGGAUAAGGGAUGAAGAACAGCAUUUUCACAACUGCUACAGAGCAUCUGCUAUUCAAUGACUUAAUGUCCAUCGUCUUCUCCUGAGAACCGCUGGGAACAAGAUGCAUGCUUAAUGAGGGAGGAGCCCUGUCUGUCAGAGUCACUGCUGUAUCCUCUGAGCAGUCUCUACUUGAACAAGGCAAAGCUCUAGAAACACAGAUGGUCCCGAGGAAGCAGCCGGCUGCUCCCCCAGUGUCCCCAUCUCAGGAAAUGUACCAACAUCCACCAGAAUCCGGGGCCAUCCUUGCCUCCUCCCUCUUCUUCCUCCACAGAGCACAGCAAUCACCGAAGCCUCCAUUACCUCACAGUCAUUACUAAUUUACACCUUUGCAGUCACUUACUAAGUGGUGUCCUGUCUCUUGAACUGCUCUCCUCCAAUCCUCUGAAUCCAUGCUGGAACCAUGAAUGAUCUUUGUAAAGUGCAAAUCGGAUCAUGUCACUCGGAGGAAUUAUCCUUGGAUGAAACUGAACUUCUGGGUCCUGCUUGUAUGGCUCCUACGUCCUGGCCCUUGUCGCUCUCCAAGCUCAAAACCUGCCACCUCCAUGAACUGUGCUCCACCUAACAGGUUGCAUUCUUUAAAUUGACCACAUCUCGCCUCUCCUCUCUUGAAGAGCUGGCCUUCGAGUCUCACUUACCUGUUUCUUCUCAGGGAAGCCUCCUCCACCCUCAAAGAUCUGUCUCUAUAGGCACUGUGAUUAUAUUGACUGCCACAUCCCCAGUGCCUAAGCCAGCUUUGGAGUCACAUAAAUAUUGGUUAAAUCAAUGAGGAAGAGAAGACAGAGUGAUCCUAUGAUGGGAGGUAAUUUGUACAGUGAAUUGGUGUGGAUAAGACAGAUCGAAUUGUGUGUGUGUGGGGUCCCCUCCAUUUCUAAGCCAAGAACCCUUGGAAAACACUAAAUCCUUCCAAUGAGGUGGUCUCACUCUGCCAUCUUACCUCCUUCCUGCACAGAUCAAAGAGCAACAUCUGCUUGUUUUCUGCAGACAGGAGAAUCCACACCCUGCUACCUCAUCACAUCAAAUGUUUGCUAAAACGAUUCAUGGCCCUGGUCAGAAUCUGGGCCUUUUCUUCCAAAUGCGUUGAGUUGUGACCUCUGAAAAUGAUGCUUUUCAAAACCAGGUCCCCAAUACCACAGGCAGAAAGAAAUUAACGGCGUGAGAGGUCCUAAAUGGCAUUUUGACAGAGGUUGUGAAGUGAUUAUGGAUUUCUUAAGAAGCAGGACUGGAGUAAAUCCAAUCACGAAAGCUCAUUUACACUUCAUGCCCUUUGCUACUUCAGUACAUGCUUGAUAGAAAGAUAAUGUUCCCAUAAGAUGUGUAUGACCAAAUUGGCGCCAAAGUUUACAACUCAAAAGAGCUGGCAGAUUCCUUAAUUGAGUUUUGUCUCCAUUGCCAAUACAGAAAA